GGGAAAAGGCCGAAAAACAAACAAAUAUUAAUUAGGCCUAUUUCCGUAAUAAUUAUGCUAUUUUUUGUUUACUUUCUACUCGGGUUAUAUUUGCAAAACUGAAUAGUUUAUUCAGUAAAUGGUGUUUUUUAAUGAAUGGUUGAUUUUUUUUUUAUUAAAAUGCUUAUGAUUUGAACCCAGAUGUCCAGUUAGAAAAGUUAAACUGCAUUAUGAUCAGGGAUGUGACCUCCAGAAUCUCAAUUUUGUCACUCCCAUUAAUGCAUAUACGUUAUUAAAAUGGAUUGAAGAUCUUGUCUUGGCAAUAAAGUUAAUUUGUACGUAAAGUCUGAUCAGCAUGAUAUUAACAGUUGUACAUCAAAUAUUGCAUUUAUUAGCCCAAUGGGCUAUAACGCAACAUUGAUUAUUUCUCGGCUUUGAAAAUCGGUGGCCCCAGGUGUCGGGCGACGGUAAUUACAUGUACACACCCCUGAAUGAUUCCUCCUAUGUUAGACGCCUUGCAAACUUGUAUAUAGGACGGCCAAUGGUAUCUCGUAAUUAUUUACAAUUUUAUAUCUUUUUCAGAAUAUAUUUCAUGAUAGUUGUGAAGAUACAGAAGUUGUGAUGGUGUGUUGAUAGGCUGUCUUCAACUUGCCAUAUCUGAGAGUUCCAACAUGCAGGCCUGGAUUAAUGUGUAUAAAUCACUAAUGAAGUUACUUAGUGUUAUUUAGUUUUUAAAAAAAAUGACAUUUCAAUUUAUACACACUUGCCAAGUGAAUCUGAUGAGACGGCAACAUGUAUUUGUGAGUAAAGGCACUCUGUCUUAACCGAAAAACUAUUUACAGUUUAUCACAACAAAUGGAUGGGACAAUAGAGUUGUUGCGGACAAUAUGUGAUUGUGAUGACCAAGUACUGAACAAGUGGAAGAUUAGAAGAAGGUCCAGAAUUCAAUCAUGUUUUUGAUUCUAAGGCGCAGACAGCAUGGAGAUAGUCCUAUUAUUCUCUUAUUCAUCUAUGAUGGAGAAACUUGUGUAAAUGUUUACAGUGUUCUCCCUAAUAAGUGCUCACAAGUCUGUAUUAAUUUAUCAGAAUAUAAAGUCCUUCACAGUACUGACUUUAAAAUUCAUGUAGAUUGUCUCCAGAUUUUUCUGAGGAAAAGUGCAUAGUUUACAUGUGUGAAUUUUGAAUAUAUUUCAUUCUUGUCUGCAAAUGUUGCCGAAACCUGUUAUUGAUGCACAAUGCACAUAGUCAUGUUAUGCAAAUGAUAGACCUCCUUUUUAAUUACAUGUCCUUAAGAUCAUGUCAACUCCUUUGUCUUAAUUGUAUAUACAAUUCUAGCAUUUAUAGCAUCAUUUGUAUAGCACUUGCUAGUUUGAUAAGGAUUUUAUUUUUUAAAAAACUUUCAUUUGACAUGAUUGAUCUAAAACGGCCAAAAUUCACAAAUCUAUUUAAAUCACAACCUGACCUUAGGCCAGAAAAGUGCCACAGUGGGUUGAUAUUUUUCUCUUGGAUCUUGAAAGAAAUUCUUUAUGCAGCAGUUUCCAAAUAAAAUGUACUCUCAUGGCCAGGGUGGGACUUCACCGAGAACUUUUUAACAUUGCACAAUGCAAUAUUUGUGGAUUAGAAGCUGUUGUAGUUUCUUUUAAGUUUUCUCUCACAUCUUGUUAUAAUUAUAUUUUAUAUUUUUGGUCGGGUUGCACAAUGUGCAAACAGUUUAUAAAAUGGUGAAUGACUGGUGGGCAAGCGACGAUAGCGUCCCUGUAAUAGUACCUACUUUGUGUAAUCAACUCCUUUCACACCUCUCACUUGAUGUUCCUCAAACUUUGUACAGUUGUUAGGGAUACAUUGAAGAUGUGCGUGUACCUUUUUGAAAGUGAUCAGACAUUUUUUGAAAAAUUUACAUGUAGUUAAACUUCGUCAUUUUUUAAGCAUUUCUUUAAUUGACAGUACCUAUUUUGUGUAAUAAACUCCUCGUAUACCUCUAAUCUGACAUUCCUCAAAUUGUGUACAGUUGUUAUGAAUACAUUGAAGAUGUGCAUAUGUGUUUUUGAAAGUGAUCAGACAUUUUAAAAAAAAAAUGUACAUGUAGUUGAACUUAAGUCAUUUAAAAGCAUUUCUUGAAUAGAUGGUAACUAUUUUGUGUAAUCAAAUCCUCAUGCACCUCUAACUUGACAUUCCUUAAACUUUGUACAGUUGUUAUGAACACAUUGAAGAUGUGCAUGCGUCUUUUUGAAAAUGAUUAGACUUUUUUUUUUAAAAUUACGUGUAGUUGAACUUGGGUCAUUUUUUAUGCAUUUCUUGAAUAGAUGGUACCUAUUUUGUGUGAUCAACUCUUGCACAUCUAAAUUGAUAUUCCUCAAACUUUGUACAGUAGUUAUGGACACACUGAAGAUGUGCAUGUGUCUUUUUGAAAGUGAUCAGACUUUUUAAAAAAAAAAUUACAUUUAGUUGAACUUUGUCAUUUUUUUAAAGCAUUUCCUGAAUAGAUGGUACCUAUUUUUUGUAAUCAACUCCUCUUACAGCAUUUAUUUGACAUUCUUCAGACCUUAAACAGCUGUUAUGGAAGCAUUGGAAAUGUGCAUGUGUCUUUUCGGAAGUGAUCAGGCAUUCUUUGAAAAAUUUACAUGUGCAUGGUGAAGUUGAACUUAGUCAUUUUUUAAACAUGGUACUUUAUGUAACCAGCUCAGCUUUUACUUAACAUUUUCCAGACCCUGUACAUUAUAGAUGAUAUAAAAACAUUGAAGAUACAUGUUAACAUUUUAUAAAUGCUUCUCUUUUUUUUUUUUUUUUUUUUUUUGUUGUUGAAAAAUUCUACCUUUAAUUUGUCAUUUUUCCAGUAUGUUUCUACUGUUGUUCCUAUGAUAGAUAACAUAUUUUACAAGAACCUGGUCAUUUCUGUUUUUGAAUCUCUUUUUUUUUUAUUAGUAUUUUUGAAUAUAUGUUAAUUACUUGAUAUGUCAUUGUUCUUGAAAUUAUAUUAAUUGAAUUAUUAUUGUGUUUUUGUUUUGUAAUAUGACAGUUUAUAUAGGAUCCCUUAAUUUCGAGCAGACAGUGUCAGAAGUGUGCUGCAAGUUUGCUGCAAACUGUGUGCCAGAAGUGUGCAGCAAGAGUGUGCCGCAAGUUUGCCGCAAACUGUGUGCCAGAGGAAAAAUUUGCAUACGAAAAGUAUACUUGCGGCAAAUAUGCCGCACACUGUGUGCCAGAAGUGUGCAGCAAGUGUGUGCCGCAAGUUUGCUGUAAACUGUGUGCCAGAGGAAAAAUUUGCAUACGAAAAGUAUACUUGCGGCAAAUGUGCCGCAACUAGUUGCGGCAAACUUGCCGCAAAUGCGCUGCAAAUUUGCAGCAACUGUGUGCCAGAGGGCUUAUAUUUUGGUAAGGGGUUUAAUCGACAAAAUAUUAAGUCAAAUAUAUACAAUAAAUCCUAAAGGCUUAAAUUCCACUACAUCAAUAUAUCCAGAUUAAUCCGAUGAACUACAUUAACUCAAAAUUUAUUUGUACAGAAUUUCAAACCUUCGCUUCUACCCGAAAAUAUUGAAAAGGAAGUAGAAGUUUAUACCAAACUCCGUACAGCGUCAAAUUCUUCGGGACUACUUUCCCCUACGAAUAAUGACACUGCCACAGGCUUUCCAAACUUCUGCAGAAAAACGCAAGUUACUAUACGCGUGUGAUUCGGUUUUCUAUAAUACCAGAUAGGGUGGUCACGUAAGGUUUAUUUAUUCCAGAAUUAGUAGAAAUAAAUUCUUCUACACUCUGUGUAACGUUUAGACUGAUUAAAAAUUGAAACUACUGGCCUUGACAUUGGACUAUAAUUUUGAGCGGAGCGUCAUCGACGUAGUGAUGAUGAUGUCGAGGCGUCUGUGGAAACAGGAGGAAGAUUUUAUCGUAUCAGGGCCACACCUUUGCGUAUUGCUGUCAUAUUUGAGAGGGAAUCCAGCCAAGAAAGACAGCUACACCAGGGACUUCUUUACAGAUGGAUAAGUUGUCCAGAAAAAGCGAGAACAUUCAAACAACCAGGAAUUGCAUCAUCGCAAUCACAAACCAUGAUUUUGAGUCCACACCAGCUUCCGCAAUCUGACAAAGGAGAUAAUUUGUGGGAAGGAUCCAUGGGUAACCGACGACGAGGAAUUACAAGAUGUGAAGGAUUUCCACCAUGCAAUUUGAAUUAAACUAAUUUGAAUGAUGUACUAGUACUUGUCUUUAACACAUGUACAAAGAAAUUUUGAAUUUAAAAUGAGAACAGUGAAAAAUCAUGAUUGUUGAUUUUUGAAGGUAAAUCUUUAAUUCUGAGGAACGUCUAUGCAUGCCAACAUCUGCAACAUUAAUAAUGAGAGUAGCAAUAUAUACUUAAGCUUUAGAAUUUAUUAUUACAACAAGGUAACUUAAAAUUUGUUUAUCACAGGCCAUCGCUUUGCACUGUGAUACAUUAUUGAUAUAUACAUGUUUAUUGAAUUUUGAGUUGUCUGAAUUUCUGAAACAACAUUUGAAUAUAACAAAUAAUUUUCUUCAUUUCAGUUCCUUACAUAUGAAAAAAUUACCAUUUUUUGCCUGUUUCCAAAUAUGUGCAAGAAGUAUACAGGGAUUGAAAGCUGAGAAAGAGACAAAAAUUCCUUUUCAAUGUUACAUAUUAUAUAUAGUUAUGUAUGACAGUGAGGCUAUCAACAGUGCAAUAAUGAUAAACAUGUGAAGUGUUUGCUAAUAAAACAUGAUAAA
This is a long non-coding RNA of Ostrea edulis (European flat oyster), 4686 nucleotides long. RefSeq lists it as uncharacterized. The record is from RefSeq and is a predicted model, not a curated record. Lineage: Eukaryota; Metazoa; Mollusca; Bivalvia; Ostreida; Ostreidae. The transcript is spliced from 2 exons.